RNAcentral lists this long non-coding RNA (1867 nucleotides) under Hordeum vulgare. RNAcentral's name for it is "long non-coding RNA (HVUL_LNC011292)". The record is from RNAcentral. Lineage: Eukaryota; Viridiplantae; Streptophyta; Magnoliopsida; Poales; Poaceae.
UUUGUCACAUGUUGUGGUAUGUGACAGUUUAUUGGUCACAAAUAGGGGCUAUAUCAUCACCAGUAAUAGCCACUAGGGAACCUACAGUCGACGCCCAUGUUGCACUUUGAGGGGAGGAUCUGGGCCCUCUGAAUUUGUUUGAAUACAGCACCUCCCCCAAUGCCAAAGAUACCACCGAGCUUGCCUUGGAUCACUCCCCGGAUAGCAUCGCAGCGACAAUGUGGUGCUAUCUGGCUCAGCUGCUGGCAACACUUCUCCCGAACCUCAUGCUCACAGCCUCCCUUCCACCACUUCGUGGGCCAGGUAACUGGAAAAUCCUUCAUCGUGAAACACCGCUCCAUCACGUAAUCCUUGCAAGAACCUAGGUUUGGCCGCUCUUGUGGGCAUUGUUGAGAACCACCUCCUCCACCAACGUCAUUGUAACCACCACCAACUGAGUAUUGCGCGGAGGUUGUGCUUGCUACAAGAGCAAGGAGAGCUAGGAGGAAUAAGGUCUUCAUGCUUUCAAUGUUUAUUUGGUGUUGGUGAAGAUGAAUAGAUGGGUUGAGACUUCCUAUUAUUUAUUGCUAAGUGACACGGUUUUUGCGUUCCAUUGUGUGCUGCUUUGGCUAAUGCUUUUCUUUGGCUAAUGCUUACAAACUUAGUUGGCACUAAUUAAAGUUACUUUACAAGCAAACAGAAAUGGUGCAAGUUGUUGAGAUAGAUGACAUUUCGUGUACUAAAUGUAACCUUUUUCAAGAUAGACGGCCAGAAAUAGUAUGUUGUACCAAAGGUCGACACUUUACGCUUUUGUGAACUGGCCACGUAGUGUUGUGCAAAUUGUUGAACAAGGAUCCAAACAAAUUUAAAGCAAUGCAUCUACAUGUCAUCCUCUUCUAGCCGUGGGUUUCUCUUUUGUAUCUAGAAUCAUGUCAGCCAUGGUUUUCUGUUCUGUAUCUAGAAUCAUGUAAUGUUCAGAUCUUUACUCCCUUAGCUCGGGUUUAUUAGGACAAAGAGAGAAAACUCAAUUACCAAUAUAUAUUUUUUGGGGAAAUGAGUGCAUGCACCUUUUUAUUGCUAAUUAAUCUGUUUGGCGCAGCUCUCCGGUCUCCUUGGCCUCGUGUUGGUGUUUGGAGUGAGACUGCAUGGAUGGUGGCGCAACUACGCUAGCGUAUGGUGUUAAGCGGUGGUUUGGCUGGUCGGCUCCGGUUGGGCUCCGGCAGCAGCGUCGUUGACGUCGCAUCCCUUCUUGGAGGUGCUGCUUGGCACGCAUCGGAUCGAAGCCUCGGGCUGUGGUGGUUUAUCUCCGGAAGGCGCAACGAUGGCGGAUCUUCCGCUCUUUUUCGAGCUAACGCUGUUGGCAUUUGUUCAUUUUUCUUUUUUUGGGCUUGAUGUGUUGUUCGUCCUAGCAAUGUCUCUACACGAUGUUGGUUGCAAAUAUGCAAAGCGAGGGGAAACCCUUUCUCGGUUAAGUAUUAAACAAGUCUGUAUAUUUUUAUAAUUGUUAAAGGAGCACAAAUAUGCACACAACCCACCAUCAACAAACUCAUACACAGGUAUCUCCAACACGGGCCAAUAUACAAGGGGAAUUUUAUUCAUAGAUGAUUACAUGACCUCAUUGAUUUGUCACAUGUUGUGGUAUGUGACAGUUUUUUGGUCACAAAUAGAGGCUAUAUCAUCACCAGUAAUAGCCGCUAGGGAACUUACAGUCGGCGCCCAUGUUGCACUUUGAGGGGAGGAUUUGGGCCCUCUGAAUUUGUUUGAAUACAUCACCUCCCCCAAUGCCAAAGAUACCACCGAGCUUGCCUUGGAUCACUCCCCGGAUAGCAUCACAGCGACAUUGUGGUGCUAUCUGGCUCAGUUGCUGGCAACACUUCUCCCGAACCUC